CCCUGUGUGUCCUGUCCAUACGUCGUCGCCACAGAGGGCCUCACACAGCCCCAGGGGCAAACAGAUCUGGACACAGCACAGGCCAUGGCUUCCGGGAAGCUUUAAGCCUGCUGGCACAAGGUCCCUUUCCAAGGCCCCCCUGGAAGUCUGUGUGGGAUGAAGAGGAAUGAAACCAUCCUGUUUCCAGAGAAGAGCUAAAUCUGCCCUAGCACGUUUCUGUUCUCCUUUACUAGGAGCCCAGGACAUAAAUGGUUAGGACGUUGUCACACAGUUCCCCGCCACAGUCAGCAGGAGCUGCAUGCUUAUCUGUGCUGAGGCUUCCAAAGGCACGCACUGAGUCCAAGACCAAUUGUCCGGUCUUGAGUUUUAUUACAGAUGAGUCUGAGAAGAAAACAUUAACUGUGCUACUACUAACUAUGAGAUGGAAUAAAAUCUAUUUGUCUGUC
Arvicanthis niloticus (Nile rat) is the source of this 446-nucleotide non-coding RNA. The record is from RefSeq and is a predicted model, not a curated record. NCBI's taxonomy places the organism in Eukaryota, Metazoa, Chordata, Mammalia, Rodentia, Muridae.